This 254-nucleotide ribosomal RNA is filed under the name uncultured bacterium. RNAcentral's name for it is "partial 16S ribosomal RNA". It matches the Rfam family "Bacterial small subunit ribosomal RNA", at positions 524 to 777 of the family's 1533-position model. The record is from RNAcentral.
UACGGAGGGUGCAAGCAUUAAUCGGAUUUAUUGGGCGUAAAGGGCGCGUAGGCUGGGGCAUAAGUCAGAUGUGAAAUCCUGGAGCUCAACUUCAGAACUGCAUUUGAAACUAUGUCUCUAGAGGGUAGGCGGAGAAAACGGAAUUCCACAAGUAGCGGUGAAAUGCGUAGAUAUGUGGAAGAACACCGGUGGCGAAGGCGGUUUUCUAGCUUAUUCCUGACGCUGAGGCGCGAAAGCAAGGGGAUCAAACAGGG